Molecule: ribosomal RNA, 447 nt
Filed under: uncultured bacterium
Lineage: Bacteria
Description: bacterial SSU rRNA
Rfam family: Bacterial small subunit ribosomal RNA
Source: RNAcentral
UCGGGAAUUUUGGGCAAUGGGCGAAAGCCUGACCCAGCAACGCCGCGUGAAGGAUGAAGUAUUUCGGUAUGUAAACUUCGUAAGAAUAGGAAGAAUAAAUGACGGUACUAUUUGUAAGGUCCGGCUAACUACGUGCCAGCAGCCGCGGUAAUACGUAGGGACCAAGCGUUGUUCGGAUUUACUGGGCGUAAAGGGCGCGUAGGCGGUGUGUCAAGUCAGUUGUGAAAUCUCCGAGCUUAACUCGGAACGGUCAACUGAUACUGUCACACUAGAGUACAGAAGGGGCAAUCGGAAUUCUUGGUGUAGCGGUGAAAUGCGUAGAUAUCAAGAGGAACACAUGAGGCGAAGGCGGGUUGCUGGGCUGAUACUGACGCUGAGGCGCGAAAGCUAGGGUAGCAAACGGGAUUAGAUACCCGCGUAGUCCCUGAGCGGGCUGGCAAGGCGCAU